Molecule: transfer RNA, 74 nt
Filed under: Geisha distinctissima
Lineage: Eukaryota; Metazoa; Arthropoda; Insecta; Hemiptera; Flatidae
Description: tRNA-Val
Source: RNAcentral
UCAAGCUUGAUUUAUAUUGGUGUAAAGGUUUUAUUUACAAUAAAAUUUUGUUGUUCGAUUCAACUGAGCUUGAG